CAGGCCUAACACAUGCAAGUCGAACGGUAACAGGAAGAAGCUUGCUUCUUUGCUGACGAGUGGCGGACGGGUGAGUAAUGUCUGGGAAACUGCCUGAUGGAGGGGGAUAACUACUGGAAACGGUAGCUAAUACCGCAUAACGUCGCAAGACCAAAGAGGGGGACCUUCGGGCCUCUUGCCAUCGGAUGUGCCCAGAUGGGAUUAGCUAGUAGGUGGGGUAACGGCUCACCUAGGCGACGAUCCCUAGCUGGUCUGAGAGGAUGACCAGCCACACUGGAACUGAGACACGGUCCAGACUCCUACGGGAGGCAGCAGUGGGGAAUAUUGCACAAUGGGCGCAAGCCUGAUGCAGCCAUGCCGCGUGUAUGAAGAAGGCCUUCGGGUUGUAAAGUACUUUCAGCGGGGAGGAAGGGAGUAAAGUUAAUACCUUUGCUCAUUGACGUUACCCGCAGAAGAAGCACCGGCUAACUCCGUGCCAGCAGCCGCGGUAAUACGGAGGGUGCAAGCGUUAAUCGGAAUUACUGGGCGUAAAGCGCACGCAGGCGGUUUGUUAAGUCAGAUGUGAAAUCCCCGGGCUCAACCUGGGAACUGCAUCUGAUACUGGCAAGCUUGAGUCUCGUAGAGGGGGGUAGAAUUCCAGGUGUAGCGGUGAAAUGCGUAGAGAUCUGGAGGAAUACCGGUGGCGAAGGCGGCCCACUGGACGAAGACUGACGCUCAGGUGCGAAAGCGUGGGGAGCAAACAGGAUUAGAUACACUGGUAGUCCACGCCGUAAACGAUGUCGACUUGGAGGUUGUGCCCUUGAGGCGUGGCUUCCGGAGCUAACGCGUUAAGUCGACCGCCUGGGGAGUACGGC
RNAcentral lists this ribosomal RNA (854 nucleotides) under uncultured bacterium. RNAcentral's name for it is "bacterial SSU rRNA". It matches the Rfam family "Bacterial small subunit ribosomal RNA", at positions 43 to 886 of the family's 1533-position model. The record is from RNAcentral.